CAACAGUCCCGCACCUGGAGGGCGUCCAGGUCGGCGCUGAUCACGUCAUCGAUCUCCCUGCAAAUUACAGAGAUGCGCAGUGUGAAGUCGGCUUCGUCGCCCACGCGGGAGGCGCUGGGGACCACCAGGUAGUGGCCGGGCGGCAGGCGGCAGCGGCGGCUCACGUCGCGGCGCGCGCAGAACACCGAGCGGUCGGCGCGCAGCAGUCCCGGCAAGAGCGCGCGGCUGCGCGGGGAGUCCCAGAGGCCCAGCAGCUGCGGGCGGGGCGCCAUGACCACCACCCACCCGAGCUCCCCACCCAACCCUCUGGUCCUGCCCACACACCCAGACUGUCUAGCCAGGCCCUCCCGUGUCCCCGGUCUCCCAGCGCUGGUCGACCAAGCCCUAGGGUGGGUCUAAGGUCACAUCUGAAACCCACCUCCUCGGGAAUCUGCAGAAAGAAAAAGCCAGUAAGGGGGUGGGGCGCAAUGUGCAGAUCCCCUCCCUGCCCCCACCCCUCACACCCCCUCCUUCUUUCUAGACCCUUAAUAUUUCCCCACCCUAUUCUCAGACCUAGGUCCCCCCCACCCCUUCCCCAACCCUUUCCUUCCCACCUGUGCCCGCAUCCCGUCCCAGUCCCUUUGGUCACCUCCUGCCCUCUGACCCUCAGCCUUUUCCUCCAGUUCUCUCAACAAUGGCGCUCCUCUCUGAACCCCCAGUACCCUCUUCCCUUUAGGACGCUCCUGUGACCCUCUGCCUCUCCAGACCUCAACUUGAUCUUGGCCUCACCUGGAACACGUGGAAGCCCACAGUGAGGCUCCAGCAGCGUCAGCCGGAACUGGGGAUUGGUCCAGAAGGUUUCUAACAAAAGAGAAGGAGGUGGAGUUCCCAGCCUGCCGAGGCCGACCCCCUAAGCUUACUUCUUCGGGCCCCCAGGCCUCACCAGCGCUGGGCUGGCUCCCGCCGGAGUUGAAACCUUUCACCCAGCGGCCUUGGAAGGUGUGGAUGUGCCAGCCUCCGCCGGCAGGGCUGGGACCUAGCACCUCAGGGCUCAGUGAACAGAUCUGGACCGUGUUGAAGUGUGUGAGGAAGUCCUGAAGCUCCAUCCUGGACAGCACAGAGCGUGAGAGAUGCCCGGCCACCCCAGAGCCCAGCUUGAGGGACCCCAGAAGUGGUCCCCACCACAAAGCUCCCAGUUCCUUAAGUACGGCCAAUUAAGCUCCAACCUCCAGAAACUCUGAAGCCUCGAGGCCUCGCCAAGGCAUCCAAGUCCUCACAGAUGCCCCACUUCUGAGCAUAUUUACAAACUCCUCCCAAAUAUCUUCAAAUUAACUUUAGAAAAUCCUCAAGUAGGGCCAGGAAGAUGGCGGAGCCAAUGAAGCCUGAAGUUGUGGGAUAUUAAACUGUAUAAGGUUGUUA
Peromyscus leucopus (white-footed mouse) is the source of this 1398-nucleotide long non-coding RNA. RefSeq lists it as uncharacterized. Lineage: Eukaryota; Metazoa; Chordata; Mammalia; Rodentia; Cricetidae. The record is from RefSeq and is a predicted model, not a curated record. The transcript has 3 exons.